AGUCUUCGAUUGGUUCUGCCGUGGUAGGGUGUGCGUGAGGUGGAAGAAGGGCUGUUCCUCCACGGCACGGUGGAGGAGUUCUGAAGUCCUAAAGUUGGGGCAGGACCUGCAGCAUGGUCGGAGAAGGGGCAAGAGGCCCGGCGGGAAGAAGCAGCAAGAGUAAGACACACAGUGCCUGGCAUAUUAUUAUAAGGGCUCAACAGGUCGUGGAAUUAAGGGAAGAAGCAGAAAAGUUCUAGAAGAGGACUGGAGAAGUAGAAGGACUACAGACCCCAUGAUGCACAUGGAAAUGGGCGUAAAUCUGCACGACUUGUUCCGGGGCAUGCGCAUGUGUAAGCGCACAA
RNAcentral lists this long non-coding RNA (344 nucleotides) under Homo sapiens (human). Its description in RNAcentral is "HSALNT0015561". Lineage: Eukaryota; Metazoa; Chordata; Mammalia; Primates; Hominidae. The record is from RNAcentral.